AAGGUAGGCAAAGCAAUGUUAGAUGUUUUAUGUCAAAUGUUUCUUCUACCUAAGUGUAUUUAAAAUAAAAAAUGUCUGAGGAUUGUAGAUUUCUGGACUAUAACACCCAGUUUUCUAUGUUACAUUUUGUUUCAUUGAGAAACUUUGACAUAUGAGAUUUGUACAGUUUUAGGCAAGGGUGUCUAUUCUUGCUACUCUUAUUUAACAUCAUAUUGAAAGUCUUAGUGUACUAAGGCCAAAGAAAGAAAGAAAACUUUAAAGACACGCAGAUUGAAAAAGAGAUGAAAAAAGAACAGAAAAAGACAUAACUAUUUUUUUCCCUUCAGUAGCCACUUGUUCUAUUUUAGAUUCUCUUUAUACCCAGAUCUUUAUCUUAUUUAAAUGCUUUUUUCAGAAACAUGUUUCUAUGAUCUCUGAAAUUCUUCCUUUAAAAAAAAAUAAAACACAGGUCAAAUCUCAACACAAACUCGAAAAACGCUACUCAGAUUAUUGUCUUAUUGUGGAGUUUUGCUUGAGUGAAUAUUUCUUCCACUAAGUGCUAUCCAUGGGGUCUUGUAAAUCUUUGCUACAGAUCUCAUGCUGUAGUGAUACUUGUAACACAGUCUGACAAUUGUGAGUCUCUAGUUUAGGGUUAGCCCUUUUACACAGGCUAAGUUGAUUUUAUUGUCUCAGUUUUCUUCCUAGUACAAAGUAUUCUAGUAAGUUUCUUCAUAGUACAAAGAAUAAGAAAAAUGUAAUCUGUUGAUGAUAACCUUUUGUGGUAGGAAAAAACUUUGAAAGGAACCAUAAGAGAAGGAGGGAUCAUGAAUGUGCAUUUGUUUAAAGAAUAAUUAUGGCAUUAAAAUGUACGAUAGGAG
RNAcentral lists this long non-coding RNA (857 nucleotides) under Marmota monax (woodchuck). The record is from RNAcentral. Lineage: Eukaryota; Metazoa; Chordata; Mammalia; Rodentia; Sciuridae.